Molecule: ribosomal RNA, 416 nt
Filed under: uncultured bacterium
Lineage: Bacteria
Description: bacterial SSU rRNA
Rfam family: Bacterial small subunit ribosomal RNA
Source: RNAcentral
UGGGGAAUCUUGCACAAUGGGCGAAAGCCUGAUGCAGCAACGCCGCGUGAGCGAAGAAGGCCUUUGGGUCGUAAAGCUCUGUCCUAAGGGAAGAAGAAAGUGACGGUACCUUAGGAGGAAGCCCCGGCUAACUACGUGCCAGCAGCCGCGGUAAUACGUAGGGGGCAAGCGUUAUCCGGAAUUAUUGGGCGUAAAGAGUACGUAGGCGGUUCUUUAAGCGCAGGGUUUAAGGCUAUGGCUUAACCAUAGUUCGCCCUGUGAACUGGAGGACUUGAGUAUCGGAGAGGAAAGCGGAAUUCCUAGUGUAGCGGUGAAAUGCGUAGAUAUUAGGAGGAACACCAGUGGCGAAGGCGGCUUUCUGGACGAAAACUGACGCUGAGGUACGAAAGCGUGGGGAGCAAACAGGAUUAGAUACC